Molecule: ribosomal RNA, 464 nt
Filed under: uncultured bacterium
Lineage: Bacteria
Description: partial 16S ribosomal RNA
Rfam family: Bacterial small subunit ribosomal RNA
Source: RNAcentral
CUACGGGAGGCUGCAGUGGGGAAUAUUGGACAAUGGGGAAACCCUGAUCCAGCAAUGCCGCGUGUGUGAAGAAGGCCUGCGGGUUGUAAAGCACUUUCGGUUGGGAGGACUGCUUCUAGCACUAAUAUUGUUGGAAGUUGACGUUACCUUCAGAAGAAGCACCGGCUAACUCCGUGCCAGCAGCCGCGGUAAUACGGAGGGUGCAAGCGGUAAUCGGAAUUACUGGGCGUAAAGCGCGCGUAGGCGGCUAGAUCAGUCGGGUGUGAAAGCCCCGGGCUUAACCUGGGAACUGCAUCCGAUACUGUCUAGCUUGAGUACAGGAGAGGAGAGUGGAAUUCCACAUGUAGCGGUGAAAUGCGUAGAUAUGUGGAGGAACACCAAUGGCGAAGGCAGCUCUCUGGCCUGAUACUGACGCUGAGGUGCGAAAGCGUGGGGAGCAAACAGGAUUAGAUACCCCCGUAGUC